GUGGAUUAGAUACCCGGGUAGUCCUAGCCGUAAACGAUGGACACUAGGUGUUGGUGGUAUCAACCCCACCAGUGCCGAAGCUAACGCAUUAAGUGUCCCGCCUGGGGAGUACGGCCGCAAGGCUAAAACUCAAAGGAAUUGACGGGGCCCCGCACAAGCAGCGGAGCGUGGGGUUUAAUUCGAUGCAACGCGAAGAACCUUACCAGGGCUUGACAUGACCAGGAAUCCGGCGGAAACGUCGGCGCCCCGCAAGGGGCCUGGCCACAGGUGUUGCACGGCCGUCGUCAACU
This 290-nucleotide ribosomal RNA is filed under the name uncultured bacterium. RNAcentral's name for it is "partial 16S ribosomal RNA". It matches the Rfam family "Bacterial small subunit ribosomal RNA", at positions 773 to 1060 of the family's 1533-position model. The record is from RNAcentral.